GUGCCAGCAGCCGCGGUAAUACAGAGGUCCCAAGCGUUGUUCGGAUUCACUGGGCGUAAAGGGUGCGUAGGUGGCCAGGUAAGUUUGAUGUGAAAGCUCGGAGCUUAACUCCGAAAUGGCAUUGAAUACUAUCUGGCUUGAGGGUCGGAGGGGAGACUGGAAUUCUCGGUGUAGCAGUGAAAUGCGUAGAUAUCGAGAGGAACACCAGUGGCGAAGGCGAGUCUCUGGACGACAUCUGACACUGAGGCACGAAAGCUAGGGGAGCAAACAGGAUUAGAUACCCCUGUAGUCC
RNAcentral lists this ribosomal RNA (292 nucleotides) under uncultured bacterium. RNAcentral's name for it is "partial 16S ribosomal RNA". It matches the Rfam family "Bacterial small subunit ribosomal RNA", at positions 505 to 796 of the family's 1533-position model. The record is from RNAcentral.